GAAUUCACCGACUGCUCGUCGUAAUGUCAUCUAAACAUGNUUACGUUGAUCUAUGGAUCUCAGCACUGNACGCUCGGUNUNUGUACAGCCUAACACAUGCAAGUCGAACGGCAGCACAGGAGAGCUUGCUCUCUGGGUGGCGAGUGGCGGACGGGUGAGGAAUACAUCGGAAUCUACUCUGUCGUGGGGGAUAACGUAGGGAAACUUACGCUAAUACCGCAUACGACCUACGGGUGAAAGCAGGGGAUCUUCGGACCUUGCGCGAUUGAAUGAGCCGAUGUCGGAUUAGCUAGUUGGCGGGGUAAAGGCCCACCAAGGCGACGAUCCGUAGCUGGUCUGAGAGGAUGAUCAGCCACACUGGAACUGAGACACGGUCCAGACUCCUACGGGAGGCAGCAGUGGGGAAUAUUGGACAAUGGGCGCAAGCCUGAUCCAGCCAUACCGCGUGGGUGAAGAAGGCCUUCGGGUUGUAAAGCCCUUUUGUUGGGAAAGAAAUCCAGCUGGCUAAUACCUGGUUGGGAUGACGGUACCCAAAGAAUAAGC
RNAcentral lists this ribosomal RNA (543 nucleotides) under uncultured bacterium. RNAcentral describes it as "bacterial SSU rRNA". It matches the Rfam family "Bacterial small subunit ribosomal RNA", at positions 1 to 491 of the family's 1533-position model. The record is from RNAcentral.